CCAAGAAUACUGGACUGGGUAGACUAUCCCUUCUCCAGGGGAUCUUCCCGACCCCAGGAAUCGAACAGGGGUCUCGGACAAUGCAGGUGGAUUCUUUACCAGCUGAGCUACCGUGGUGUCUUGAGAGCGGUCAAUUUCAGGGGUUCACGGUAUCCUAACUCCGUUGCUUAGACAUUCCCAUGAUAGGGAAGCGGCAAGGAGGCCGCGGAAAUGCUGGGACCCGCCCGCCACCCUUCUAUCGCCGCAAAGGUUUCCGUGACGUAGGGGCUCAUUCAUAAAACACUGUUAUAAACUUAGGCGGCCGCGACUGGUUCUUGCCAACCGCACUUCGAGCAGCCCAGCCGUGGGCGGAAAGGCAGAGACCGCCCGCUGCCCCCGGGCUCCGCCCCCGAAUUCCUCUCGCCUGUCACCACGUGGCGUCCUCCCGCUUCGCCUGCGCUGGCAGGACCAAGACAGUCUCUCUUGAUGCCGUUCCCUGGCUGACUUCCACCGCGGGCUCUCCAGACCACGCUCAGGAAGGUUGGGCUAGAGGGGCCGGCAGCUUGGGGGUCACUCCUUCGCUGGGAAGGGAGGCUUCUCGGAGCGCUGGAUGUGCUGGAAGCGCGCGCACUGUUGUCCCAGUGAGAACGGUCCCUUCCUCGCGCCGGCUGUUUCUGAGCUCUUCGGCCCUUGGCUCGGUGGCUGGUGUCCAACGAGAGCCGAGCAAACGGGUGCCAAACGUACUCCUCACUGGAGGCCGGCUUCCCGAGGGGACAGCAGAAAGCGGCCGUCCUCUCUCCGACGGCCCCCCGGAGCAGGCAGGAGGGGCGGGUGUGGGAAGAAGUUCAUUGAUAAAAUGCGAGUUCCUUCAGGUGACUCUAGGGGGCUCCUGCGUCAGUGCAGAAGUUGGGUAUGCUUAUAAACAACCCCUGCGACUGCGUUCCUAUUAUUCCCUCAGUAUCCCUGGCUUGAAAGAGGGCCGAUGACUCAGCUGGUAAAGAAUCCGCCUGUGGAUGCAGGAGACAUAGAGAGGAAGUUUCCAUCCGUGGGUCGGUAAGAUGCACUGAAAGAGAAAAUGGCAACCCACUCUAGUAUUCUUGCCUGAAGCAUCCCAUGGACAGAGGAGCCUGACCGGCUACAGUCUAUGGGGACCAGCACCUGGGGGUGGGGGGCUGCUAACAAACCAGAAGAGUGGGGUCCCCUAGAUGAGUGCUAUUUCUGGGGAUCAGGGCAGUGUACACAGGCAACAGUCAUGAUUUCAUGGGGAUUUCACUGGUGGGUUGGAAUAUCACUAGGUCACAGGGGAAGAUAAGGGAAGCUUGAGUUGGGGCCACAGCUGCAUCACUCUUGUGUAUCUGGUCACCCGGGCGGGGUGCCUACAGCCAGUCUGCGGGAACGCUGAGGCAGAAGAAUAUUUAACUUAAAUAUUUUAUAAUACAAACAUACAUUACCAUAUGUAAAACAGACAGCCACUGGGAAUUUGCUUUAUGACUUAGAGAACUCAAACCUGUGUUCUGUGACAACCUAGAGGGGUGAGAUAGGAUGGAAGGAGGGAAGUUCAAGCCAGAGGGGCCACACCUAUACCUAUGGCUGAUUCAUGUUGAUGUAUGGCAGAAACCAACACAAUAUUGUAAAGCAAUUAUCCUCCACUUAAAAAUAAAUUUUAAAAAUUUAAAAGUUUAUGUUACAAGGGUCUUAAAAGACAAGAGGCAGAAAACACAACAGGGACGCCUUCAGGAACAUUCCAUGCCUCGCCUCCUUCACUAGAGCCUCUGCAAUUCCUCCGCCAGCUCUUCUCCAGACCUCUGGGCCCCAGGGUCCUCUGGAGACACCUUUCUCCUGGAGGGAUGCUGAAAAAGAACUACCCAGAAGCUUCUGCUCCGUUUGAGAGCGCCAGGCUGAUGACGUCAAUGAAAGGGGCGUUGCCGGCUCGCAUGGUCAGAGGCCAGACUUCCUGCGCUGCCAGAGCGGGAUUUUCGUUUUGAGGCUGGUGUCCCCGCACUCGCUAGGAUCUGUAAACGGGAUUUGGGUUGCUAUUUCCACUUCCAGGGGAUCUUCCUGACUCAAGGGUCGAACCCGCGACUCCUGCAUUGGUAAGCGGAUUCUUUUUUGUCAGUGAUUGGGGCACGGUGUAAAAGGGAGAGGAAGUGUCUUCUAGAAUCCCCCUGACACCAUGCCGCUGGUGUGGAAGGACUCGUAGGGCAAAGCGCACACCCCACAGUCCGGAGACCGUUCUGUAUGUCUCAGCCAGACCCCUUCCCGAGUGUAGGACCUUGAGCAACUUUCCCUGCUGCCCUUGGCUUUUAUAUUAAAGUUCCUCCAACUGGAUUGAAAGAAUAGAAAACGCGCGUGAGAUACCUGACGUGUAUUCCCGUGUCCAGUGCGGUCCAGGGAGCAUCACUCUGGCUCUCUUUUCAUGGAGGUGCCUCCUGGGCCUAUGUUGAUGGCAGAGGCUCAUCCCUGGGGGAAUCUGACCCUUGGGCUUCCCUGUCCUGUAUCCUCUAUAAAGAUAAGGACUGGGAUGGGGAAGAACAGCAGUUGUCUGCAGCACUUUGGGGAUUGCUGUUCUACUAGGACAGAGAAGGUGUAAGGACAGUCCAGGAGCCCAGAAGGCCAAGGAAUUUACCUUUCAGUUUACAGCCAGUGAAACUAGCUUCCCCCUGACAGUCGUGAAUCUAUCUUCCUGUUUGUGGUUUGGUUAUAUUUGACAAGUGAGUCUGUUCAAAUGGUCAGGUAUGAUGGUGUACAGGAAUGUGGGUCCUUUUGGACAUAAAAACAAAAGAGGUCCUGGGUAACUGCAUAGCCAUCGCCCUGAGUGCCCCCAUCAUAGUCCUGAUCACUGUCAGAACUUGUCUUAUUUGUUACUUUCCCACCCACUUGACUCCCUUCCUCACUUUAUUUCGGAAUCGCUCCCAUUCGCUGUCCGGAGAGAGGCUUUCCCUGGUGCCCAAUCACAAGCAGGCAGUCACCUCAGUCAUCUCUGUUUUCUUGAGUUCAGAACCUUUAGGUCCUCUGACAUGGCUGUUGUUGUUUAGUCACUCAGUCGUGUCCUACUCUUUGCGACCCCACGGACUGCAGCACGCCAGGCUUCCCUAUCAUCAACUCCUGGAGCUUGCUCAAACUCAUAUCCAUCAAGUCGGUGGUGCCAUCCAACCAUCUCAUUCUCUCAUUCCCUUCUCCUCCUGCCUUCAGUCUUUCCCAGCAUCUGACAUGGUGGUGCCCAUUUAUUUAGUUGCUUGUUUAGGAUCUCUUUCCAGUCCCAGAGUGUGAGCACCUAUUGCUGCUCUCUGCUAAGACAGAGUAGCUGAGCCUGUAAAAGGUGCUCAACAAAUGGUUGAGUGAAUGAAUGGGUCUCCCACUCAGGUGCUCAGGUCACACUUAUAAUAGUCUUUCUCCCAACUAUGGCCCACAGGGCUAUACUAGCUCUGCCCCUUGCUUACCUCCACACUUCUCCCCCUUCUGUUCUUCCCUGCUCACUGCAUUCAUUCCUGCCCAGUGUACAGCCUUUGCUCUUGCAUUUCGUUUUGUCUGAUUCCAGAUCUCUGCAGGGCUGUCUCUCCCCUCUCCCUGUGCCUCAGUGUCUCCUCUUAGGAUAGUCUUUUCCUGGCCAUUUUCCUCUGGCUGAGAUACCCCUGGCUCCCACCUGCCCAUCUUCUGGAAACUCUCUGCCAUCUUUUGCUGAAUGUUCAAAUCUUACAUCCUUCCUUAAAUUUGAGGUUGUGACUGACUUUCUUUCCCUUCCUUCUUCUCUCCCUCUCUUCCUUCCUUCCUUCUUUUUUUAUUUUUAUUUUUUUUAUUUUUUUCCUGCAAGGCAUGUGGAAUCUUAGUUCCCCAAGCAGGGACCAAACCUGUGGCCUCUAGUGGAAGCAUGGAGUCCUAACCACUGGACCAUCAGGGAAUUCCCUGUGGCUGACUUGCUGGAGCUGCCUGGACCUCAGGCCUCUGCCUGAGACACAGAGUUGAUGAUGGCCUUUACCUCGUGGGCCGAGUGAGGGGGUUAGUAAAAGUCAAAAAGGACAUGGCACACUUCACUGUGCCAGCCCUCCCGCAUCUGAUGUGUGAACAUGUUAUUUUCUCUUUAGUUCUCAGAAUCUCGGCGCAGUGGGAAUGAGCAUAGGAUUGAUGGUGACGCUGAUGCUUGGAGAAAUGACGAGAUGUUGUGCCUACGGUCACGCUGCCAGCGAGCGUCAGACUUCAGACCCUUCAUGUGAACCCCGGAUCUCUGGCCCAGAGCAAGGGAUCUGCAGUCCCUUGCACGUCAGCGUGUGAAGCCCUCAGCCUGGGCAGGCGCUCAGACAGGGUGGUGGUGACCUUCAAGGAUGUGGCUGUGACCUUUACCCAGGAGGAGUGGGGACAACUUGACCUGGACCAGAGGACCCUGUUCCGGGAGGUGAUGCUGGAGACCUGCGGGCUCCUGGUCUCCCUGGCGUGGAAUCAAGUGGCAGACACGUGAGUGGCACCACUGGCAGCUAUCCACAGUGAGGCACUAGGGGACACUUGCUUUCCAUCCCCACGAAGCGCUGAUUGUGUAGAGGUCUUCGUUCUAAUGGGAGUUGUGCUUCUACUGCUGCAAAAGAACGACUCCGUUGUCCUGGAAGGUGACCCUGCCAGUCGGCCACUUUGUGCUCCUCAAACUUCUGAAUCAACAGGGAGAGAGCCACUGUGCUGGCUCUGGUGGCUGAGUCCGAUGCAGGAGCACGUUGGACGACACGUCCCACUGCUACUUGCACAAAGGAAGUGUGCGUCUGGAACGCAGGCGUCCCUGAAGGCGUCUUAUUGCGACCCAUGAGUAAAGUCCAUGAAAACUAUAACAGCCUGACUUAGGCAGGACAACUCACAGCCCAGACCCUUCAGGAAUGAAUGCUUGCUCACCUACCAGGGAACAAAAAGGGAAUGUCUGAAGUGGUACUGAGGACCAAAGGAGUUUGGAAUGGGUUGCAGAAGAGAUACAUACUAGUUGUGGUUAUAUGACCAUAUAGAAAUGAGGAUGCUAUGCUAUGCUAAGUCACUUCAGUCGUGUCCGACUCUUAGCGACCCCAGGGACUGCAGCCUAACAGGCUCCUCCGUCCAUGGGAUUUUCCAAGGAAGAGUACUGGAGUGGGGUGCCAUUGCCUUCUCCGAGAAAUGAGGAUAGUAACCUGUAAUGUCAUAAGUAUUUCUUCCUUCUUUUGCCAUGAAUAUGUGUGUAUAUUCAAUAUCUUUAUCUUCCUUCUUUCAUCCCCUUAUAUAACAAAAGUAGUGUUCGGUAGUUCCUGAUAGUUCAGUGGUUAGGAUUCUGCAUUUUCACUGCAGUGACCAGGUUCAAUCCCUGGUUAGGGAACUAAUCCUAUAAGUCACCUA
Long non-coding RNA from Bubalus bubalis (water buffalo), 5319 nucleotides. RefSeq lists it as uncharacterized. NCBI's taxonomy places the organism in Eukaryota, Metazoa, Chordata, Mammalia, Artiodactyla, Bovidae. The transcript is spliced from 3 exons. The record is from RefSeq and is a predicted model, not a curated record.